GCGGGUGUCGUAUAAUGGUUAUUAUUUCUGUUUUCCAAGCAGGAAACGCGGGUUCGAUUCCCGCCACCCGCUCCA
This 75-nucleotide transfer RNA is filed under the name candidate division WWE3 bacterium CG_4_9_14_0_2_um_filter_35_11. RNAcentral's name for it is "tRNA-Gly". It matches the Rfam family "tRNA". From Rfam's summary of the family: Transfer RNA (tRNA) molecules are approximately 80 nucleotides in length. Their secondary structure includes four short double-helical elements and three loops (D, anti-codon, and T loops). Further hydrogen bonds mediate the characteristic L-shaped molecular structure. tRNAs have two regions of fundamental functional importance: the anti-codon, which is responsible for specific mRNA codon recognition, and the 3' end, to which the tRNAs corresponding amino acid is attached (by aminoacyl-tRNA synthetases). tRNAs cope with the degeneracy of the genetic code in two manners: having more than one tRNA (with a specific anti-codon) for a particular amino acid; and 'wobble' base-pairing, i.e. permitting non-standard base-pairing at the 3rd anti-codon position. Lineage: Bacteria; candidate division WWE3. The record is from RNAcentral.